RNAcentral lists this ribosomal RNA (528 nucleotides) under Vischerioclonium submersum. Its description in RNAcentral is "eukaryotic LSU rRNA". The stretch from base 166 to 319 matches the Rfam family "5.8S ribosomal RNA". Lineage: Eukaryota; Viridiplantae; Chlorophyta; Ulvophyceae; Ulotrichales; Tupiellaceae. The record is from RNAcentral.
ACCCCUCAUGUCAGCCACACCCGGCUGCUUGAGCGGCUAGCUCUCGGGCUAGUCGGGCUCCACAGUUCCGCUGCGGAGUCGGCAAAUUUACCAACUUACACACCCAACCAAACUGUCUAGCUGAAGCAGUAUCGAGCCAGCAUUGCUGAUCGAUAAAAUUGAGACAACUCUCAACAACGGAUAUCUUGGCUCUCGCAACGAUGAAGAACGCAGCGAAAUGCGAUACGUAGUGUGAAUUGCAGAAUUCCGUGAAUCAUCGAAUCUUUGAACGCAUAUUGCGGUCGAGGCUUCGGCUAAGACCAUGUCUGCCUCAGCGUCGGUGUGAACCCUCAUCCAAACCCAAAAGUCUGGAUGGAACUGGUCUCCCCAUCGCUCGCUCGAUGGGUUGGCUGAAAUUCGGAGGCUCGAGCUUGGACCUGUAUGGCAACAGCAAGGUAGGUAGUCUAACUACUCCAGCUGAUGCUUUGGGUACUUGCAUGAAUGCCCGCGGGAAACAUCACCCUUUUCGACCUGAGAUCAGGCAAGGCU